UAUUGAUGCCUGCCCCUUUCUUUGUUACACAACAACAUUCAAACCUCUCAGACAAAGACAAUCAGACACCAAACCUCAGAGAGAAACAUCUCACCGCAGCACACUGUACGAAGGACACAACCACGGUCACCACCGCAAAGCACCACUGGCACAGCCGCAGAUCACAGGGAACUCCUGGAGUAACAAGAUCAGUGCUUUGGGACAGUGGAGUUGUAUUGGGGAAGUUCUUAGAGCAUGCUGUAGAAUCAGGGACAGUGCUUCUUCAAGGCAAGAAGGUUGUUGAAUUGAGAUCUGGCUGUGGAUGAGUUGGAUAGAUUAAGGAUGCUGAGGAAGAACGUUGGAACUAAUCUGUAUGGAAAUGUUCGUGGUUCUACGACAGUGAAUCAACUCAUUUGGGGAGAGGAGCCUGUUGUAGAAUUGAUUCGACCAUUAGCUGAUUAUGGUACAAAGAUCUUAUAUCUUCUCUUCCACAUAACAAAGGUUUUAAAAAUUGGUUGUUUCUAUAACCAAGUAGGUAUAAUGCGCGCUACAACUCUGUUGAGUGCCUGUUACGGUGCUGUUACAACUGUUAUGGCUAUUGUAAUCAAUUUUCCUAAGAACUAAUACCAGCUCUUGGUUGUUGGAUUUUGCACCUUGACUUUCCACAUGGUGUGUCUUGACCUGCGAAUUUAGUCCCAUGCUCCAUAUGCAUUGUCAUCAAAUUACCUAGUAUUUGUUUAAUGCUUCUGGACCAAGUAGUGAUCUUGUAUGAGUUGUUUUG
Camellia sinensis is the source of this 760-nucleotide long non-coding RNA. RefSeq lists it as uncharacterized. Lineage: Eukaryota; Viridiplantae; Streptophyta; Magnoliopsida; Ericales; Theaceae. The record is from RefSeq and is a predicted model, not a curated record.